This 790-nucleotide ribosomal RNA is filed under the name uncultured bacterium. RNAcentral describes it as "SSU rRNA". It matches the Rfam family "Bacterial small subunit ribosomal RNA", at positions 70 to 853 of the family's 1533-position model. The record is from RNAcentral.
ACAGAAGAGCUUGCUCUUUGGGUGGCGAGUGGCGGACGGGUGAGUAAUGUCUGGGAAACUGCCCGAUGGAGGGGGAUAACUACUGGAAACGGUAGCUAAUACCGCAUAACGUCGCAAGACCAAAGUGGGGGACCUUCGGGCCUCACACCAUCGGAUGUGCCCAGAUGGGAUUAGCUAGUAGGUGGGGUAAUGGCCCACCUAGGCGACGAUCCCUAGCUGGUCUGAGAGGAUGACCAGCCACACUGGAACUGAGACACGGUCCAGACUCCUACGGGAGGCAGCAGUGGGGAAUAUUGCACAAUGGGCGCAAGCCUGAUGCAGCCAUGCCGCGUGUAUGAAGAAGGCCUUCGGGUUGUAAAGUACUUUCAGCGGGGAGGAAGGCGGUGAGGUUAAUAACCUCGCCGAUUGACGUUACCCGCAGAAGAAGCACCGGCUAACUCCGUGCCAGCAGCCGCGGUAAUACGGAGGGUGCAAGCGUUAAUCGGAAUUACUGGGCGUAAAGCGCACGCAGGCGGUCUGUUAAGUCAGAUGCGAAAUCCCCGGGCUUAACCUGGGAACUGCAUUUGAAACUGGCAGGCUUGAGUCUCGUAGGGGGGGGUAGAAUUCCAGGUGUAGCGGUGAAAUGCGUAGAGAUCUCGAGGAAUACCGGUGGCGAAGGCGGCCCCCUGGACGAAGACUGACGCUCAGGUGCGAAAGCGUGGGGAGCGAACAGGAUUAGAUACCCUGGUAGUCCACGCCGUAAACGAUGUCGACUUGGAGGUUGUGCCCUUGAGGCGUGGCUUCCGGAGCU